This is a long non-coding RNA of Mesocricetus auratus (golden hamster), 463 nucleotides long. RefSeq lists it as uncharacterized. The record is from RefSeq and is a predicted model, not a curated record. The transcript has 3 exons. Lineage: Eukaryota; Metazoa; Chordata; Mammalia; Rodentia; Cricetidae.
AAUAUUGCCUGUCCACUGGCCAAAACAGCUUUAUUCAUCAACCAAUAAGAGAAACAUACAUUCACAGCAUACAGAAGGACAUCCCUCGUCACUUUGGGAGAGUAUCAACACCUGGCUAAGCAGCUGAGGGAGACAAUGAGAUUUGGAAGGCUGUUUGGAGGUUGCUGGCCUGCUGUGCAGAAGAAAGAAGCAGGGAUGCCAAGCUUGCCCUGAGAAGAGGCCUAAGAAUGCUGAGGAAGCCAUGCAGAGAAAGGAAGGGGAAGGAGGUCCUGGCACCAGCUCUGCAUUUCUGCUGAGGCUCCAGAAGGUUGCAGCACAGGUCCGAAGACCAGGUUCUUCUCUGCCUGUUUAGCUGAGGAAUGCCACUUCAAGGGAAUGUGCUUUUGACCAAUGAGAAACUUCUUUGCCACUUCAAGUCUCCUGAAGAAGAAGAGUUUUUAGAGUAGUAGAAGAAACAAGAAGA